GCAAAUUUCGUGGCAAAUCGCAAUAAGUAAUCGAAAUAUAUGUUAAUUAUGAGUAUGUUACAAAUAUGUGUUGCGGUUUCGUAAACCGUAGGUCACCGGUUCGAAUCCGGUCAUUGGCUCCA
Molecule: transfer RNA, 122 nt
Filed under: bacterium
Lineage: Bacteria
Description: tRNA-Thr
Rfam family: tRNA (bases 55-114)
Source: RNAcentral